This 475-nucleotide non-coding RNA is filed under the name Nematostella vectensis (starlet sea anemone). Its description in RNAcentral is "Eukaryotic small subunit ribosomal RNA". It matches the Rfam family "Eukaryotic small subunit ribosomal RNA", at positions 116 to 550 of the family's 1831-position model. The record is from Rfam by way of RNAcentral. Lineage: Eukaryota; Metazoa; Cnidaria; Anthozoa; Actiniaria; Edwardsiidae.
CUUACUGGCAGGUGUAAACUUGGUUGUUGCCAAACCCAAUUGACCAUAUGAUCAAAAUAGCUCAUUUUGCAGAUUUUUUUCUAGUAAGGGACUGAUCAUGUGAUAGUUUCCAGUAGUUGGUGGAGAUUUUGAAAAGAAAAUCAAGAAAAUUUUUUUUUUUUUACAUUGUGUACCCUCCUAAAAGGUACAUGAUGGUUCAGAGACCAUAAAUUUUUAGUUAUUUGCUCAACCACCAGCUUGCAGCAUGGUAGUGUUAUGCACGCGCAAACUUAUAGCUGGAAUGGCCUAAUAGGGUUUGAUUCCGGAGAGGGAGCCUGAGAAAGGGCUACCACAUCCAAGGAAGGCAGCAGGCACGCAAAUUACCCAAUCCUGACUCAGGGAGGUAGUGACAAGAAAUAACAAUAGAGGGCUUUUCUAAGUCUUGUAAUUGGAAUGAGUACAACUUAAAUCCAGUAUACCAUAAAUUUUCUCAUUG